AGUGAACGCUGGCGGUAGGCCUAACACAUGCAAGUCGAACGGCAGCACAGGAGAGCUUGCUCUCUGGGUGGCGAGUGGCGGACGGGUGAGGAAUACAUCGGAAUCUACCUUUUCGUGGGGGAUAACGUAGGGAAACUUACGCUAAUACCGCAUACGACCUUCGGGUGAAAGCAGGGGACCUUCGGGCCUUGCGCGGAUAGAUGAGCCGAUGUCGGAUUAGCUAGUUGGCGGGGUAAAGGCCCACCAAGGCGACGAUCCGUAGCUGGUCUGAGGGGAUGACAGACCACACUGGAACUGAGACCCGAGCCAGGCUCCUACGGGAGGCAGCAGGGGGGAAUAUUGGACAAUGGGCCCAAGCCUGAUCCAGCCAGACCGCGUGGGUGAAGAAGGCCUUCGGGUUGUAAAGCCCUUUUGUUGGGAAAGAAAAGCAGCCAGUUAAUACCUGGUUGUUCUGACGGUACCCAAAGAAUAAGCACCGGCUAACUUCGUGCCAGCCGCCGCCGUAA
Molecule: ribosomal RNA, 506 nt
Filed under: uncultured bacterium
Lineage: Bacteria
Description: partial 16S ribosomal RNA
Rfam family: Bacterial small subunit ribosomal RNA
Source: RNAcentral